RNAcentral lists this ribosomal RNA (443 nucleotides) under uncultured bacterium. Its description in RNAcentral is "partial 16S ribosomal RNA". It matches the Rfam family "Bacterial small subunit ribosomal RNA", at positions 338 to 795 of the family's 1533-position model. The record is from RNAcentral.
CCUACGGGAGGCAGCAGUGGGGAAUAUUGGGCAAUGUGUGCAAGCCUGACCCAGCCACGCCGCUUGAAGGAAUAAAGCCUUCGGGAUGCAAACUUCUUGUCUCAGGGACGAAGAAAGUGACGGUACCUGAGGAAUAAGCCACGGUUAACUACGUGCCAGCAGCCGUGGUAAUACGUAGGUGGCAAGCGUUAUCCGGAUUUAUUGGGUGUAAAGGGCGAGUAGGCGGGAGCGCAAGUCAGAUGUGAAAACUCAGGGCUCAACCCUUAGCCUGGAUUUGAAACUGUGUUUCUUGAGUGCUGGAGAGGCAAGCGGAAUUCGUGGUGUAGCGGUGAAAUGCGUAGAUAUACGGAGGAACACCAGUGGCGAAGGCGGAUUGCUGGACAGUAACUGACGCUGAGGCGCGAAAGCGUGGGGAUCAAACAGGAUUAGAUACCCCUGUAGUC